AUUUAAGCUAUUUGGAGCCUAUAGAGAUUAUAUCAGAGGAUAUCUGCAGAAUGUCAGCGUUUUUGAAAGAGGAGAAGAACAUGUCUCAGAGAGCUCCUACUCCUCCAGUUUUGGCCCCAGAAUGAAACACAAGAAGAAGACCUGAAUUUGAUUUGCAUUUCAAAGUAGAACUGUCCCAGCUGACAUGAAGACUGAUGAAUAAGGAAUAAAUGUUUAUUGUUGUAUGCCACUGAUAUUUCUGUGGUCAAUUAUGUGUAGAAGAGCUGACUUGUACACUUAUAUAAACUUGAAGAAGACUGAAUUUAGAAAUGGAGUUUCUGCAUAUGGUUAUGUCUGAGUAGCUCCAAGUGGAUCAUCCCUCCCACAGACAACAACUCUAAACUCUGGACAAAAUAUAAAAAUAACAAUUUCCUGAAUAUCAAAGAACAACCCAAAUCAUGCAGAUACUGGCUGCCGUAUUGUGAGCUGCAUUAUGAAGAGGACCAUGUGGCAAGACACUGAGGGAGAUCUCCAGCCAACAACAACUCAUAAGCAACUAAAUCUUGUGAUGAACCACUGGAGUCAUCUGGAAAGAGGAUCCUCCCACCUUCAAUCUUUGAAAUGGCUAGAGCUCUGAUGACAGUUGGAUUACAGCCUUAGGAGAAACAGAGAGCCGGAGAAAUUUGUGCCCAGGUUCCUUUCCCACAGACAUUGUCAGAUAAUAAAUGUC
Gorilla gorilla gorilla (western lowland gorilla) is the source of this 709-nucleotide long non-coding RNA. RefSeq lists it as uncharacterized. The record is from RefSeq and is a predicted model, not a curated record. NCBI's taxonomy places the organism in Eukaryota, Metazoa, Chordata, Mammalia, Primates, Hominidae. The transcript has 3 exons.